AUUGAACGCUGGCGGCAGGCCUAACACAUGCAAGUCGAGCGGAUGAAGGGAGCUUGCUCCUGGAUUCAGCGGCGGACGGGUGAGUAAUGCCUAGGAAUCUGCCUGGUAGUGGGGGAUAACGUCCGGAAACGGGCGCUAAUACCGCAUACGUCCUGAGGGAGAAAGUGGGGGAUCUUCGGACCUCACGCUAUCAGAUGAGCCUAGGUCGGAUUAGCUAGUUGGUGGGGUAAAGGCCUACCAAGGCGACGAUCCGUAACUGGUCUGAGAGGAUGAUCAGUCACACCGGGACCGAGAAACGGGCCCGGCUUCUAAGGGAGGGCGCAGGGGGGAAUAUUUGACCAAUGGGGAAAGCCUUAUUCCAGCAAGCCGCGGGGGUGAAGAAGGUUCUCCGGUUUGAAAGGCCUUUAAGUUGGGAGGAAGGGGAGUAAGUUUAAUACUUGGUGUUUUGAAGGUACCAAAAGAAUAAGGCACGGCUAACUUCGUG
Molecule: ribosomal RNA, 484 nt
Filed under: uncultured bacterium
Lineage: Bacteria
Description: partial 16S ribosomal RNA
Rfam family: Bacterial small subunit ribosomal RNA
Source: RNAcentral